CAGCAGCCGCGGUAACACGAGGGGGGCAAGCGUUGUUCGGAAUUAUUGGGCGUAAAGGGUGCGUAGGCGGUUUCGUAAGUCUUAUGUGAAAUCUAUGGGCUCAACCCAUAGUCUGCAUGGGAAACUGCGAGGCUUGAGGAUGGGAGAGGUGAGUGGAAUUUCCGGUGUAGCGGUGAAAUGCGUAGAUAUUGGAAGGAACACCUGUGGCGAAUGCGGCUCACUGGACCAUUUCUGACGCUGAUGCACGAAAGCUAGGGGAGCAAACAGGAUUAGAGACCCCUGUAGUCCCUGUCUCUUAUCC
This 301-nucleotide ribosomal RNA is filed under the name uncultured bacterium. Its description in RNAcentral is "partial 16S ribosomal RNA". It matches the Rfam family "Bacterial small subunit ribosomal RNA", at positions 509 to 808 of the family's 1533-position model. The record is from RNAcentral.